CACUCUAAAUAGAAUGUAUUGUAAUCUUUGCUCAGUCCAACGUGGUCCCUUCACCCGGGCUCCGCUCUUGCCUUCUCCACACUUGUUUGAUUUAUGAGGAAUCCAAGAUGAAUUUGGAGCAGGAGAGGCCGUUUGUCUGCAGUGCCCCAGGCUGCUCCCAGCGCUUCCCAACAGAGGACCAUCUGAUGAUUCAUAGGCACAAACAUGAAAUGACUUUGAAGUUUCCUUCAAUAAAAACAGACAAUAUGUUAUCAGAUCAAACUCCGACCCCAACGAGAUUUCUGAAGAACUGUGAGGAGGUGGGCCUCUUCAGCGAGCUGGACUGCUCCCUGGAGCAUGAGUUCAGGAAGGCUCAAGAGGAGGAGAGCAGCAAGCGGCAUGACUGAAAGGAAACACUCUUUGACAAUGAUAUUGGAGAUGACAACCUCUUUCUUCCACCACCCCAAUGACUGAAAACCCUAAGGCUUAUAUUAUAAGGAUUCUUUUUGUCCUCCUAUUUCAGUGCACUACAAAUGUAAAUCACAUUCAACUUUCUCCUUGCAGGUUAAAAUUAUGCCCUCAUCUUAGGUGGAAUUUGACGCUGGAAGGGAAUUUGGCUUGAUCUUUGCAUCCCACUCAGGGGAAUGACUAAACCAGUAGAUAAACUGGAAGCUAUUUCAUGUGUUUUAGGUCACUAGGAUUUAGGAAUAAUGAGUACAAUCUUAGCAGGGAUUAUUAAGAGUUGGUAUUUACUUCCACAUAUGUGAAUGAAU
RNAcentral lists this small RNA (752 nucleotides) under Pongo abelii (Sumatran orangutan). RNAcentral describes it as "processed transcript". The record is from RNAcentral. Lineage: Eukaryota; Metazoa; Chordata; Mammalia; Primates; Hominidae.